This 73-nucleotide transfer RNA is filed under the name Thermoplasmata archaeon. RNAcentral describes it as "tRNA-Thr". It matches the Rfam family "tRNA". From Rfam's summary of the family: Transfer RNA (tRNA) molecules are approximately 80 nucleotides in length. Their secondary structure includes four short double-helical elements and three loops (D, anti-codon, and T loops). Further hydrogen bonds mediate the characteristic L-shaped molecular structure. tRNAs have two regions of fundamental functional importance: the anti-codon, which is responsible for specific mRNA codon recognition, and the 3' end, to which the tRNAs corresponding amino acid is attached (by aminoacyl-tRNA synthetases). tRNAs cope with the degeneracy of the genetic code in two manners: having more than one tRNA (with a specific anti-codon) for a particular amino acid; and 'wobble' base-pairing, i.e. permitting non-standard base-pairing at the 3rd anti-codon position. Lineage: Archaea; Methanobacteriati; Thermoplasmatota; Thermoplasmata. RNAcentral also lists the same sequence under 1 other name. The record is from RNAcentral.
GCCGCUGUAGCUUAGAUGGUGGAGCGGCUGACUCGUAAUCAGCAGGUCAGGGGUUCGAAUCCCCUCAGCGGCU